This is a long non-coding RNA of Pongo pygmaeus (Bornean orangutan), 1811 nucleotides long. RefSeq lists it as uncharacterized. The record is from RefSeq and is a predicted model, not a curated record. Lineage: Eukaryota; Metazoa; Chordata; Mammalia; Primates; Hominidae. The transcript is spliced from 4 exons.
GUACACCCUCCUGUGGACCAGAGCAAACUCUGCCAAGACACCAGUCAUGUUUUUGAGGCUUCUCUCCCAAGCAGACUCUGCAACCUCUCUGAAAGAAUGUGCAAACUACAGCAUGUUAGUGGCAGCCUCACAUACUGAUCCUAGAGCACCUAUAUCUUCCUCAGUGUCAACUUCAAAACAACCUUUCUGUGAAGCUUUGUUAGCUCUAAUAGGAUGCAUGUCUCAUCGACAAAGUGAUUCAGAAAAUGCAAGCAGUCGUCUUCAUCACAGUCCUAUGGACUUCCAGGCUGAGGUGACAUGCAGGGCAGGAUUGACAGGUAGGCCAAAGUUCUGGGUAGAGAAGGUGGCACCAGGCAAAAGGUUUGGAAAUUGAGUGGAGGGCCUAGGACCAUUGCAGCCAGGAACUGAGAAAACUGGGGUUGGGACUCGGGGAGAGGGAAGCUGUAGACCAUAGACUGUAGUCUGAGCCUGAGACUCAGGGAAGGAUGCGGUUGAGAGCAUGGAGAGGGUGUCCUUGGGAGAGGACCUAGGAAACAAGCCUCCAUGAAAGGGCCCUGGAGCAGGAGCUGGAGCCUAAUUGACAUACCAUCACCCCAUCCCUUCAUGCCCAGCCUCUCUCUGCUGGGAUCUCUCCCUGGCAACCGGCCUUUUAUCAAUCCCUUCUACCUGGCUGGCAAAUCCUGAGCUUCACUCCAGGUGGUCACAAUCUGACCCUUGUGACCUCAUGCUUCCCCACCCCCAUUUGUGAUUCCAUCACGGGAAGUUCUUCUCCAGUGGCCCCUGAUCCAGGGAGACCCACCCUGCAACAGCCCUUGUCUCCCUCCACCCUUGCUUCCUUCUCGCCCAUCUUACCACUAUCUGCCCAGGGGAGCCAGAUUUCCCAAAUUUUGAAGAGAAAAUAAUCGAGGCUCAUUUCCAGGACAGAGGGGCGAGCUGGGUCUAAAGAGCCAAGCAGAAAGGCUUCCCAAAAUCACUAGGUUGGGAGCAGUCAGAGAUGUGUGGCUGCCCCAGCUGUUCUGACUCUGCCCCAGCUUUUGGCUCCACCCCCUUAAAUCACCUUCAGAGGUUCCCAUGGUGACAGUAAACAAGUCUCCACUGCCUUGCCCAUGUGCUGUGUUCACCCCACUCCUGAUCUUGUUGGCUGCUCAGGGGCUGACAGCCCAGAUGCGCAGCUGUGAUGAGCAGAAACAGGGAGGAAUGGAGCCCCCAGUAAGUCAUGUAUCCAUUAAAAGGAUAUCUGGAAACCUCCAAAAGGAAGCCAAGCAUAGACUACUUGGAAGAACUUGAAGGAGCGAGAGCUGACCCCAUCUUUGUACACUGGCAGCACAAGGACAACAAUCAACACAGAAGACUUCUGUGACCAAAUGUGUGCACGUUUCUCUCCAUACACCAAGCAAGCAAUCUAUUCUGCAGCAGACACCAACUGGAUGUCCUCCAAUUCAAUUCAAUUCUGACACUGUCUACCUGGAAAUGGCCUCAGCAACCACAGAAUGGCAGAUGAAAAAAAACCAAGUCACUGAAACACUGAAACUCCCUCUGCUUUUGAGGUAAAAGAACUGCCUAACAUUGGUUGGGACCAAGAUGGCCUACUAGAACAAGCUUGCUGAAACUGCAGCCUGAAUUUCCACUGUUUGUUUCCUACUAACUUCUCCCAAAUUUGCACAUAUGACUCAUAAGGUAGCAUGAAGAGAUAACUGCACAUGCCUGAGGACUUUUCAGAUGAUGCUUACCUUCCACCAAUCACCUGCUAACCCCAGUAUCCACCCAAUAAAACUUUUCUAAAACUGCCUUGGAGCCAACACAGGAGACAG